AUGUCACGGCCUGAUACCGCAAAUCAGAAGCUGAUCGCUACUCUCACAAUGCUUGUUAGUUGGACCACCCGAAACGAGAGGAAUGCUAGAGUUUUUAGAAAAAAAACGACGCUGCCUUUCUACAUCCUAAAGCUUAUUCAAGACGAGGCCAAACUUUAGGUUACCACGGGGGCUAAGCACUUGAGCAAGAUCAUACAACGUGAGUAA
RNAcentral lists this ribosomal RNA (207 nucleotides) under Triticum aestivum (bread wheat). RNAcentral's name for it is "partial small subunit ribosomal RNA". The record is from RNAcentral. Lineage: Eukaryota; Viridiplantae; Streptophyta; Magnoliopsida; Poales; Poaceae.